RNAcentral lists this ribosomal RNA (292 nucleotides) under uncultured bacterium. Its description in RNAcentral is "partial 16S ribosomal RNA". The record is from RNAcentral.
GGACUACUCGGGUAUCUAAUCCUGUUUGCUCCCCUUGCUCUCGCGCCUCAGCGUCAGGCAUUAACUAGAAAACCGCUUUCGCCACCGAUGUUCUUCCACAUAUCUACGCAUUUCACCGCUACACGUGGAAUUCCGUUUUCUCCGUCAACCCUCUAGAAUGAUAGUUUCAAAUGCAGCUCCGAAGUUGAGCUUCGGAAUUUCACAUCUGACUUAUCUUUCCGCCUACGCGCCCUUUACGCCCAAUAAUUCCGAUUAAUGCUUGCACUCUCCGUAUUACCGCGGCUGCUGGCAC